Molecule: ribosomal RNA, 678 nt
Filed under: Enterococcus hirae
Lineage: Bacteria; Bacillati; Bacillota; Bacilli; Lactobacillales; Enterococcaceae
Rfam family: Bacterial large subunit ribosomal RNA
Source: RNAcentral
UAAGGUUAAGUGAAUAAGGGCGCUCGGUGGAUGCCUUGGCACUAGGAGCCGGAUGAAGGACGGGACUAACACCGUAUGCUUUGGGGAGCUGUACGUAAGCUAUGAUCCAGAGAUUUCCGAAUGGGGGAACCCAGCAUCUUUUAUAGGAUGUUACGUUUGCGUGAAUACAUAGCGCAUUCGAGGUAGACGCAGAGAACUGAAACAUCUAAGUACCUGCAGGAAGAGAAAGAAAAUUCGAUUCCCUGAGUAGCGGCGAACCAGAAACGGGAAAAGCCCAAACCAAUGAGCUUGCUCAUUGGGGUUGUAGGACUCCAAUAUGGUAGUUCUUUCAGAUAGUCGAAUGACUUGGAAAAGUCAGUUAAAGAGGGUUAAAACCCCGUAGAUGAAAUUUGGAAGGCACCUAGGAGGAUCCUGAGUACGGCGGAACACGAGGAAUUCCGUCGGAAUCCGGGAGGACCAUCUCCCAAGGCUAAAUACUCCCUAGUGACCGAUAGUGAACCAGUACCGUGAGGGAAAGGUGAAAAGCACCCGGAAGGGGAGUGAAAUAGAACCUGAAACCGUGUGCCUACAACAAGUCAAAGCCCGUUAAUGGGUGAUGGCGUGCCUUUUGUAGAAUGAACCGGCGAGUUACGAUUGCAUGCGAGGUUAAGUUGAAGAGACGGAGCCGCAGCGAAAGCG